RNAcentral lists this ribosomal RNA (496 nucleotides) under uncultured bacterium. RNAcentral's name for it is "partial 16S ribosomal RNA". It matches the Rfam family "Bacterial small subunit ribosomal RNA", at positions 28 to 506 of the family's 1533-position model. The record is from RNAcentral.
GAUGAACGCUGGCGGCGUGCCUAAUACAUGCAAGUCGAGCGAACAGACGAGGAGCUUGCUCCUCUGACGUUAGCGGCGGACGGGUGAGUAACACGUGGAUAACCUACCUAUAAGACUGGGAUAACUUCGGGAAACCGGAGCUAAUACCGGAUAAUAUAUUGAACCGCAUGGUUCAAUAGUGAAAGACGGUUUUGCUGUCACUUAUAGAUGGAUCCGCGCCGCAUUAGCUAGUUGGUAAGGUAACGGCUUACCAAGGCAACGAUGCGUAGCCGACCUGAGAGGGUGAUCGGCCACACUGGAGCUGAGACACGGUCCAGACUCCUACGGGAGGCAGCAGUAGGGAAUCUUCCGCAGUGGGCGAAAGCCUGACGGAGCAACGCCGCGUGAGUGAUGAAGGUCUUCGGAUCGUAAAACUCUGUUAUUAGGGAAGAACAAAUGUGUAAGUAACUAUGCACGUCUUGACGGUACCUAAUCAGAAAGCCACGGCUAACUACGU